This 705-nucleotide ribosomal RNA is filed under the name uncultured Bacilli bacterium. RNAcentral describes it as "bacterial SSU rRNA". It matches the Rfam family "Bacterial small subunit ribosomal RNA", at positions 54 to 731 of the family's 1533-position model. The record is from RNAcentral. Lineage: Bacteria; Bacillati; Bacillota; Bacilli.
CAUGCAAGUCGAACGCUUUUUCUUUCACCGGAGCUUGCUCCACCGAAAGAAAAAGAGUGGCGAACGGGUGAGUAACACGUGGGUAACCUGCCCAUCAGAAGGGGAUAACACUUGGAAACAGGUGCUAAUACCGUAUAACACUAUUUUCCGCAUGGAAGAAAGUUGAAAGGCGCUUUUGCGUCACUGAUGGAUGGACCCGCGGUGCAUUAGCUAGUUGGUGAGGUAACGGCUCACCAAGGCAACGAUGCAUAGCCGACCUGAGAGGGUGAUCGGCCACACUGGGACUGAGACACGGCCCAGACUCCUACGGGAGGCAGCAGUAGGGAAUCUUCGGCAAUGGACGAAAGUCUGACCGAGCAACGCCGCGUGAGUGAAGAAGGUUUUCGGAUCGUAAAACUCUGUUGUUAGAGAAGAACAAGGAUGAGAGUAAAAUGUUCAUCCCUUGACGGUAUCUAACCAGAAAGCCACGGCUAACUACGUGCCAGCAGCCGCGGUAAUACGUAGGUGGCAAGCGUUGUCCGGAUUUAUUGGGCGUAAAGCGAGCGCAGGCGGUUUCUUAAGUCUGAUGUGAAAGCCCCCGGCUCAACCGGGGAGGGUCAUUGGAAACUGGGAGACUUGAGUGCAGAAGAGGAGAGUGGAAUUCCAUGUGUAGCGGUGAAAUGCGUAGAUAUAUGGAGGAACACCAGUGGCGAAGGCGGCUCUCUG